This is a long non-coding RNA of Anopheles coluzzii, 5931 nucleotides long. RefSeq lists it as uncharacterized. Lineage: Eukaryota; Metazoa; Arthropoda; Insecta; Diptera; Culicidae. The record is from RefSeq and is a predicted model, not a curated record. The transcript has 2 exons.
CCUACCGUUAGGUCCACCGCUGGUUCAUGACGGUGUUUUUUUUUUUACUGUGGAGGUGCAUCAUUCCCCCUGCCUGCUGCGUAUGCACCGGGCAGGAGACAGUGUGGCAGUAUGCAAGUUGCACGCUGGAUAGGAGCGGGCCCGCGGCACCGCCAUCAUUCCGCACAUCUGCAUGCCCGUCGUGGGUUCUAACCGCGUAUGAACCGUCCGCCGUAGCAAGAGGUGACUAUCCGGCUACGUGGUACUCAAAUCCUGAAAAGGCCGGUAUGAUCGCGUAGGCCAUUACGCCAAUAAUAAGAAUAAUAAUAAUAAGAAGAAGAACUUAGCAUAGCAGUCCACACUCGGGGAAGGUUUUUGUUUUGACUUUGUUGCUGCCGGGUGUCCCGCGGUGGCGCGACAAAUCAACGGAAUGCAAUCGACCAAAACAUGAAUCUACCGAUCCGAACUCAUUCCAAGGCAUUGCCGGUCAAUCGGCGUCACGAUACCGACAAGUCAACAAGCCGCCCGAUUCUGGACGGACUGGUGCAGCACCAUACGCGCACCGUAAUAAACAAAUCCAGAAUCCUCUUUUGUAUGAAUUCAAUUCAAGUUUUGUUUCCACUUGCGUCCGCUAGCGGAAUGGGAAAGAAAUUUGCUACAUAUCACACGCACGUUUGGUUUGAUCGUGUGCCUUUUUAACACCCCCAACAGCAGAGCCGAUCGCAAAGAUGCCAAUGCCAAUGGUUGUGUUGUCUCUCAAGUAGCGAGAUCGAAAAUGCAUGGACUUUGUAGCCGCAGCGGAUGAAAAUGUACCCAUCAGAAUCAAAUAGUUCUGGGGUUUCCAAACGCACGCACACAUACAAACACGCGCGCAAACUCACACACACACACACACACACACACACAAACAAACGCGCGCGCGCGCACGCGAUAAGGUACCUACGAACGCGCGCACGCGAGAACGCACCUACGAAAGCGCGCACGCAAGCACGCACCCCCACCAAACCCCCCUCCCCAUCCGCUAACAUCAGCUAUCAUAUAGCGCAUCCUCAUCCCUAGCGCCGGACGGGGUGGGGGAUCGCGGCAUGAUAGAGUGAACGGUCACUUUCCCCGCGCUGUGUGCGUGCGUGUGUGUGUCGAGACCCAAAAACUCGAAACAGAUUUCGGCAAAUUAAAAAAAAAUAUAACCACUAUACACUGUGCUACAUGAUGCUUAGAAGGUCGUUGAAGCAUCAAACAUGUUCAAAUUAAAAAAUAUUAGAUUAGUGUUAGACGUUCUCCUACGCUUGUUUUAAAUAGGCUUCGUCACCCUCAACUGGCAGGGGCAUCGAAUGGUCUCAUCAGCAGCGGCACGAAAUAAAAUAAUUCAUCAAUACACCGAUAACACUUUAAAUCCCAAUCCAGCUUCUCCCGCAUCGUCCCAAGGUCACACACUAAUUAAUAAAUGCUAACACCCACCAAUAACAAUACACAACCGCAAUGCACAUAUAUGAAUCAACGCAUACACCACAAACACCCAAUCAGCUGGCGGCGGAAGGCACGGGCUGAAGCGCAAGUAGUGCAAGGCAGGGCGAGGGAGGGAGAAGAAGCGGACGAAAAAAUGGGCGCCAUUAUUUUUUUAAAUUUUUUGACCGUUUUUUUUUUGCUCCGCCGCCGCCCGAACUGUCCGAACUGUCCGAACUGCCCGAACUGCGCGACCCAGCGCAGAAAUCGCUGAAGAACAGCGCGGGAGACCAGGCCAAAUCUGCGCUGGCCAGCGCAGAUUUUGGUGCAUUUUCUGCGCUGGAAACUGCUCGAAUUUGCGCAGCGGGAUUAUUUUUUUAAAUUUUUUGACCGUUUUUUUUUUGCUCCGCCGCCGCCCGAACUGUCCGAACUGUCCGAACUGCCCGAACUGCGCGACCCAGCGCAGAAAUCGCUGAAGAACAGCGCGGGAGACCAGGCCAAAUCUGCGCUGGCCAGCGCAGAUUUUGGUGCAUUUUCUGCGCUGGAAACUGCUCGAAUUUGCGCAGCGGGGUAGGUACGAUUUAUACACCAACAGCCCGCUGCGCAAAUUCGAGCAGUUUCCAGCGCAGAAAAUGCACCAAAAUCUGCGCUGGCCAGCGCAGAUUUGGCCUGGUCUCCCGCGCUGUUCUUCAGCGAUUUCUGCGCUGGGUCGCGCAGUUCGGGCAGUUCGGACAGUUCGGACAGUUCGGGCGGCGGCGGAGCAAAAAAAAAACGGUCAAAAAAUUUAAAAAAAUAAUGGCGCCCAUUUUUUCGUCCGCUUCUUCUCCCUCCCUCGCCCUGCCUUGCACUACUUGCGCUUCAGCCCGUGCCUUCCGCCGCCAGCUGAUUGGGUGUUUGUGGUGUAUGCGUUGAUUCAUAUAUGUGCAUUGCGGUUGUGUAUUGUUAUUGGUGGGUGUUAGCAUUUAUUAAUUAGUGUGUGACCUUGGGACGAUGCGGGAGAAGCUGGAUUGGGAUUUAAAGUGUUAUCGGUGUAUUGAUGAAUUAUUUUAUUUCGUGCCGCUGCUGAUGAGACCAUUCGAUGCCCCUGCCAGUUGAGGGUGACGAAGCCUAUUUAAAACAAGCGUAGGAGAACGUCUAACACUAAUCUAAUAUUUUUUAAUUUGAACAUGUUUGAUGCUUCAACGACCUUCUAAGCAUCAUGUAGCACAGUGUAUAGUGGUUAUAUUUUUUUUUAAUUUGCCGAAAUCUGUUUCGAGUUUUUGGGUCUCGACACACACACGCACGCACACAGCGCGGGGAAAGUGACCGUUCACUCUAUCAUGCCGCGAUCCCCCACCCCGUCCGGCGCUAGGGAUGAGGAUGCGCUAUAUGAUAGCUGAUGUUAGCGGAUGGGGAGGGGGGUUUGGUGGGGGUGCGUGCUUGCGUGCGCGCUUUCGUAGGUGCGUUCUCGCGUGCGCGCGUUCGUAGGUACCUUAUCGCGUGCGCGCGCGCGCGUUUGUUUGUGUGUGUGUGUGUGUGUGUGAGUUUGCGCGCGUGUUUGUAUGUGUGCGUGCGUUUGGAAACCCCAGAACUAUUUGAUUCUGAUGGGUACAUUUUCAUCCGCUGCGGCUACAAAGUCCAUGCAUUUUCGAUCUCGCUACUUGAGAGACAACACAACCAUUGGCAUUGGCAUCUUUGCGAUCGGCUCUGCUGUUGGGGGUGUUAAAAAGGCACACGAUCAAACCAAACGUGCGUGUGAUAUGUAGCAAAUUUCUUUCCCAUUCCGCUAGCGGACGCAAGUGGAAACAAAACUUGAAUUGAAUUCAUACAAAAGAGGAUUCUGGAUUUGUUUAUUACGGUGCGCGUAUGGUGCUGCACCAGUCCGUCCAGAAUCGGGCGGCUUGUUGACUUGUCGGUAUCGUGACGCCGAUUGACCGGCAAUGCCUUGGAAUGAGUUCGGAUCGGUAGAUUCAUGUUUUGGUCGAUUGCAUUCCGUUGAUUUGUCGCGCCACCGCGGGACACCCGGCAGCAACAAAGUCAAAACAAAAACCUUCCCCGAGUGUGGACUGCUAUGCUAAGUUCUUCUUCUUAUUAUUAUUAUUCUUAUUAUUGGCGUAAUGGCCUACGCGAUCAUACCGGUCUUUUCAGGAUUUGAGUACCACGUAGCCGGAUAGUCACCUCUUGCUACGGCGGACGGUUCAUACGCGGUUAGAACCCACGACGGGCAUGCAGAUGUGCGGAAUGAUGGCGGUGCCGCGGGCCCGCUCCUAUCCAGCGUGCAACUUGCAUACUGCCACACUGUCUCCUGCCCGGUGCAUACGCAGCAGGCAGGGGGAAUGAUGCACCUCCACAGUAAAAAAAAAAACACCGUCAUGAACCAGCGGUGGACCUAACGGUAGGCGGACUAGGCGGUCGCCGAAGAUUUCUAGUCUGUAGUAUGCCGUAUGUCUACAAGUGGACAGAUUAUUAGCGACAAGGGCCCCCGGAAAGAUGGUCUUUAGGGCUCCGUGGCUGGAGAACCAUUUGCACCUCCCCUCCCCCCAUGGCGACUACAAUUUUAGGGCCUGUGACCGAUGAUCGUAGGGGUCCCAUGGUCACCCCCCCCCCCCAUCCGCUGGCAAAUUAAGUAUACUGUUCAAUCUUCCAACAGCUGUGUGUCAGUACCCCCACCUUAGGGGCCUCAAUUCGUCUUUCCGCCUUUCAUCAUAACAUUCCGGAAGAAAUUACAUUUGGCGACAGAUUUGCAUACACACGCACACUCACAAUCAUGCGCAGGAUGCUUAGCAUAUCUAUGUAAUCCACAACAGACGAAAGCAAAAGCUUAGUGUUAGAAACGUGUUAGAGCGAAUUAGGGUUCUGCUUGUUACACAGCAAACCCUCCAUCGUGCGCUAGCGAUUCCGUAGUCAUUUUUACAUUGCAUCGAUUAAACUCAUUGCGCUUUUUUGGUUUGAUUUGUGAAAAUGCAACUUCAUCGCCGCAAUGUUUGUUAACGGCAUUUUUAGGCGCCACAACAGCUCGCGAGCAUUGUCCACACGCGCGAAAGAGAUAGCGCUAUGGAGGGAAAAAGCACGGACGAUGGCUGACAGCGAUUGGCCGUCUGACGCACCAACACAUUCAAACCUUCGGCAGCGCGCUCAGGCGAGGGGUAUGAGGCGGAGCCAGGGACGGGCAGCUCGACGAGCUGCUCGACAAAUUUGCCGUUGGAGAGAAAAGGAGGGCAUGAUAAAAUUCUCAGAACUUCAUGAUUUCUUGCGUCGCUUUGCGCAGCGGGUUGUCGGUAUCGUGACGCCGAUUGACCGGCAAUGCCUUGGAAUGAGUUCGGAUCGGUAGAUUCAUGUUUUGGUCGAUUGCAUUCCGUUGAUUUGUCGCGCCACCGCGGGACACCCGGCAGCAACAAAGUCAAAACAAAAACCUUCCCCGAGUGUGGACUGCUAUGCUAAGUUCUUCUUCUUAUUAUUAUUAUUCUUAUUAUUGGCGUAAUGGCCUACGCGAUCAUACCGGCCUUUUCAGGAUUUGAGUACCACGUAGCCGGAUAGUCACCUCUUGCUACGGCGGACGGUUCAUACGCGGUUAGAACCCACGACGGGCAUGCAGAUGUGCGGAAUGAUGGCGGUGCCGCGGGCCCGCUCCUAUCCAGCGUGCAACUUGCAUACUGCCACACUGUCUUCUGCCCGGUGCAUACGCAGCAGGCAGGGGGAAUGAUGCACCUCCACAGUAAAAAAAAAAACACCGUCAUGAACCAGCGGUGGACCUAACGGUAGGCGGACUAGGCGGUCGCCGAAGAUUUCUAGUCUGUAGUAUGCCGUAUGUCUACAAGUGGACAGAUUAUUAGCGACAAGGGCCCCCGGAAAGAUGGUCUUUAGGGCUCCGUGGCUGGAGAACCAUUUGCACCUCCCCUCCCCCCAUGGCGACUACAAUUUUAGGGCCUGUGACCGAUGAUCGUAGGGGUCCCAUGGUCACCCCCCCCCCAUCCGCUGGCAAAUUAAGUAUACUGUUCAAUCUUCCAACAGCUGUGUGUCAGUACCCCCACCUUAGGGGCCUCAAUUCGUCUUUCCGCCUUUCAUCAUAACAUUCCGGAAGAAAUUACAUUUGGCGACAGAUUUGCAUACACACGCACACUCACAAUCAUGCGCAGGAUGCUUAGCAUAUCUAUGUAAUCCACAACAGACGAAAGCAAAAGCUUAGUGUUAGAAACGUGUUAGAGCGAAUUAGGGUUCUGCUUGUUACACAGCAAACCCUCCAUCGUGCGCUAGCGAUUCCGUAGUCAUUUUUACAUUGCAUCGAUUAAACUCAUUGCGCUUUUUUGGUUUGAUUUGUGAAAAUGCAACUUCAUCGCCGCAAUGUUUGUUAACGGCAUUUUUAGGCGCCACAACAGCUCGCGAGCAUUGUCCACACGCGCGAAAGAGAUAGCGCUAUGGAGGGAAAAAGCACGGACGAUGGCUGACAGCGAUUGGCCGUCUGACGCACCAACACAUUCAAACCUUCGGCAGCGCGCUCAGGCGAGGGGUAUGAGGCGGAGCCAGGGACGG